RNAcentral lists this ribosomal RNA (465 nucleotides) under uncultured bacterium. Its description in RNAcentral is "partial 16S ribosomal RNA". It matches the Rfam family "Bacterial small subunit ribosomal RNA", at positions 28 to 507 of the family's 1533-position model. The record is from RNAcentral.
GACGAACGCUGGCGGCGUGCUUAACACAUGCAAGUCGUACGGUAAGGCCCUUUCGGGGGUACACGAGUGGCGAACGGGUGAGUAACACGUGAGUAACCUGCCCACAACUUUGGGAUAACGCUAGGAAACUGGUGCUAAUACUGGAUAUGUGCCCCUGCUGCCUGGUGGGGGUUGGAAAGCUCCGGCGGUUGUGGAUGGACUCGCGGCCUAUCAGCUUGUUGGUGGGGUAGUGGCCUACCAAGGCGGCGACGGGUAGCCGGCCUGAGAGGGUGACCGGCCACAUUGGGACUGAGAUACGGCCCAGACUCCUACGGGGGGCAGCAGUGGGGAAUAUUGCACAAUGGGCGCAAGCCUGAUGCAGCAACGCCGCGUGCGGGAUGACGGCCGUCGGGUUGUAAACCGCUUUCAGCAGGGACGAAGCUUUUUGUGACGGUACCUGCAGAAGAAGCACCGGCUAACUACGUG